AAGUCGUAACAAGGUUUCCGUAGGUGAACCUGCGGAAGGAUCAUUAUCCUUUAGCGUAGCGCUCUUCUGAGUACUACAAGCGCAUGCACUCUUUAGUGUUGCGUUACAAUGCAUAGCGAGCGGGCCUCGUUCCGCUCGCUUUCAAAUCCGUGCUCGCUCGAGCCCGGUCGGGUACCUAUGUGCGAAAGCACACAAGCGACAGAUGCUCGUCUGUCGUGUGGUGUAAAGAUUAUUCUCGCUGAAGAAUAACGCCCGCUUAGCGCAGUCAUUUUUACUACAAAUUUAUAUCGCAUUUAACUAUGUUGUAUGUGUAAUGCACUGUCUUGCUUUCUUAGUGAGAUAUUAACACAAAUACAACCCUAUGCGGUGGAUCAUUUGGCUC
RNAcentral lists this unclassified non-coding RNA (382 nucleotides) under fungal sp. RNAcentral describes it as "partial internal transcribed spacer region". The stretch from base 1 to 46 matches the Rfam family "Eukaryotic small subunit ribosomal RNA", at positions 1786 to 1831 of the family's 1831-position model. Lineage: Eukaryota; Fungi. The record is from RNAcentral.